Molecule: long non-coding RNA, 1110 nt
Filed under: Cairina moschata (Muscovy duck)
Lineage: Eukaryota; Metazoa; Chordata; Aves; Anseriformes; Anatidae
Description: domestica (muscovy Duck (domestic type)) lncRNA (ENSCMMG00000010304.1)
Source: RNAcentral
AUGGUAUCAAACAAACUCAAUUUCAUGGUUUGCUCAUUUUUGUGUGUGUUAUGGAUAUAUACAUACACACGCAUAUAUAUAGGUACCAAACAAACUCAUUUUCAUGUUUUUUUUUGCUCGUUUUUGUGUGUUAUGGAUAUAUAUAUAAAUAUAUAUACACACACAUAUAUAGGUACCAAACAAACUCAUUUCCACGGUUUGCCCAUUUUUGUACUACGGAUAUACACACACACACACAUUCUGGAACCAAACAAACUCAUUUCCACGGUUUUGUGCAAUAUCCAGCCCUGGGAACACCACGACCUCCCCCCCCCCGGCUCGAGCAGCAGGCACCGAGCGCCCCCUCGCCCCGCCGUGCCCCCGCCGCUCCGCGCCGCUGAGCCGGGAGCCGGCCCCAGAACGCGAGCGGAGCGGAGCGGAGCGGCCGGAGGGUGCGGGCGCCUUCCCGGCAGCGCGGCCGGGGCAGCCCCGCCGGCGGUGCCCUCGUCCGGCCGCGGGGCCGCGCCGGGAGCCCCGGGGGGCGCCGAGGGGGGGACCCCGCGAGGCCGGGCCGGGGCUGAGCGGCCCCAAAAGUUUGGCCGGGGCAGCGCCGCGCAGCGCCCGAGGACCGCGCGGAUCGACAGCGCCGUUACCUCCGCGCCUCGCUCCCUCGGCGGCUGGGUGCGCUGGGUGGCUGCGCUGGGUGCGGUGCGGUGCGGUGCGGUGGGAGCUCCCCGCGGCCGCCCCGCUCCGCGCCCCCGGCGGGAGGCAGCCGCAGCCCGCGCCGCCCCCUCCGGCCGCCCGCCGGGCCACGGGCCCGCCCCGGCACCGGCACCGCCCCGGUACCGCCCCGGCGCCUCCCCGGCACCGCCCCGGCCCGGCCCCGCCACCGCCUCCCUGCCCGCCGUGCAGCCAGGGGGGGCCCGGGGAUGGUGCCGCGCUGGAGGGAGGCGGAGGAGGCCCAGGGCGAGCUUUGGAGGUCAGGAGGAUGCGGAGAGUUGUAACUCGGGAAUCCUCGGUGAUCAGAUUCGAGAGAAAAAAAAAAAAAGUGGAUUUGUGUGUGUGUGUUUGUGGUGGGAACAGAAGGAUGGCUCCGCUGCCCCUUUUUCUGGCUCUCCAGGUGGAUGUUGA